GACGAACGCUGGCGGCGUGCCUAAUACAUGCAAGUCGAGCGGACCGACGGGAGCUUGCUCCCUUAGGUCAGCGGCGGACGGGUGAGUAACACGUGGGUAACCUGCCUGUAAGACUGGGAUAACUCCGGGAAACCGGGGCUAAUACCGGAUGCUUGAUUGAACCGCAUGGUUCAAUCAUAAAAGGUGGCUUUUAGCUACCACUUACAGAUGGACCCGCGGCGCAUUAGCUAGUUGGUGAGGUAACGGCUCACCAAGGCGACGAUGCGUAGCCGACCUGAGAGGGUGAUCGGCCACACUGGGACUGAGACACGGCCCAGACUCCUACGGGAGGCAGCAGUAGGGAAUCUUCCGCAAUGGACGAAAGUCUGACGGAGCAACGCCGCGUGAGUGAUGAAGGUUUUCGGAUCGUAAAACUCUGUUGUUAGGGAAGAACAAGUACCGUUCGAAUAGGGCGGCACCUUGACGGUACCUAACCAGAAAGCCACGGCUAACUACGUGCCAGCAGCCGCGGUAAUACGUAGGUGGCAAGCGUUGUCCGGAAUUAUUGGGCGUAAAGCGCGCGCAGGCGGCUUCUUAAGUCUGAUGUGAAAGCCCCCGGCUCAACCGGGGAGGGUCAUUGGAAACUGGGGAACUUGAGUGCAGAAGAGGAGAGUGGUAUUCCACGUGUAGCGGUGAAAUGCGUAGAGAUGUGGAGGAACACCAGUGGCGAAGGCGACUCUCUGGUCUGUAACUGACGCUGAGGCGCGAAAGCGUGGGGAGCGAACAGG
RNAcentral lists this ribosomal RNA (767 nucleotides) under uncultured Bacilli bacterium. RNAcentral describes it as "bacterial SSU rRNA". It matches the Rfam family "Bacterial small subunit ribosomal RNA", at positions 28 to 776 of the family's 1533-position model. Lineage: Bacteria; Bacillati; Bacillota; Bacilli. The record is from RNAcentral.